Molecule: ribosomal RNA, 480 nt
Filed under: uncultured anaerobic ammonium-oxidizing bacterium
Lineage: Bacteria
Description: bacterial SSU rRNA
Rfam family: Bacterial small subunit ribosomal RNA
Source: RNAcentral
UUUUCGCAAUGCCCGAAAGGGUGACGAAGCGACGCCGCGUGGGUGAGGAAGGCCUUCGGGUUGUAAAGCCCUGUCAGGAGUUAAGAAAUGUAAGUGCGCUAAUAUCGCAUUUAUUUGACGAAGGCUCCAAAGGAAGUCACGGCUAACUCUGUGCCAGCAGCCGCGGUAAUACAGAGGUGGCAAGCGUUGUUCGGAAUUAUUGGGCGUAAAGAGCACGUAGGUGGGUUUGUAAGUCAGAUGUGAAAGCCUUCUGUUCAACGGAAGAAUUGCAUCUGAAACUGCAAGUCUUGAGUAUAGGAGGGGAGAAUGGAACUUCUGGUGGAGCGGUGAAAUGCGUAGAUAUCAGAAGGAACGCCGGCGGCGAAAGCGAUUCUCUGGCCUAUUACUGACACUCAGUGUGCGAAAGCUAGGGGAGCAAACGGGAUUAGAUACCCCGGUAGUCCUAGCCGUAAACGAUGGGCACUAAGUAGAGGGGUUUUA